RNAcentral lists this ribosomal RNA (497 nucleotides) under uncultured bacterium. Its description in RNAcentral is "partial 16S ribosomal RNA". It matches the Rfam family "Bacterial small subunit ribosomal RNA", at positions 28 to 507 of the family's 1533-position model. The record is from RNAcentral.
GAUGAACGCUGGCGGCGUGCCUAAUACAUGCAAGUCGAGCGAACGGACGAGAAGCUUGCUUCUCUGAUGUUAUCGGCGGACGGGUGAGUAACACGUGGAUAACCUACCUAUAAGACUGGGAUAACUUCGGGAAACCGGCGCUAAUACCGGAUAAUAUUUUGAGCCGCAUGGUUCAAAAGUGAAAGACGGUCUUGCUGUCACUUAUAGAUGGAUCCGCGCUGCAUUAGCUAGUUGGUAAGGUAACGGCUUACGAAGGCAACGAUGCAUAGCCGACCUGAGAGGCGGAUCGGCCACACGGGAACGUGGACGCGGACAAGACGCCUGCGGUAGGCAGCAGUAGGGAAUCGGCCGCAAUGGGCGAAAGCCUGACGGAGCAACGCCGCGUGAGUGAUGAAGGUCGUCGGAGCGUAAAACUCUGUUAUUAGGGAAGAACAUAUGUGUAAGGAGCUGUGCACAUCGUGACGGUACCUAAUCAGAAAGCCACGGCUAACUACGUG